AGUGAACGCUGGCGGUAGGCCUAACACAUGCAAGUCGAACGGCAGCACAGAGGAGCUUGCUCCUUGGGUGGCGAGUGGCGGACGGGUGAGGAAUACAUCGGAAUCUACUCUGUCGUGGGGGAUAACGUAGGGAAACUUACGCUAAUACCGCAUACGACCUACGGGUGAAAGCAGGGGACCCUCGGGCCUUGCGCGAUUGAAUGAGCCGAUGUCGGAUUAGCUAGUUGGCGGGGUAAAGGCCCACCAAGGCGACGAUCCGUAGCUGGUCUGAGAGGAUGAGCAGCCACACGGGAACUGAGACACGGUCCAGACUCCUACGGGAGGCAGCAGUGGGGAAUGUUGGACAAUGGGCGCAAGCCUGAUCCAGCCAUACCGCGUGGGUGAAGAAGGCCUUCGGGUUGUAAAGCCCUUUUGUUGGGAAAGAAAUCCAGCUGGCUAAUACCCGGUUGGGAUGACGGUACCCAAAGAAUAAGCACCGGCUAACUUCGUGCCAGCAGCCGCAGUAA
RNAcentral lists this ribosomal RNA (506 nucleotides) under uncultured bacterium. Its description in RNAcentral is "partial 16S ribosomal RNA". It matches the Rfam family "Bacterial small subunit ribosomal RNA", at positions 29 to 523 of the family's 1533-position model. The record is from RNAcentral.